Molecule: ribosomal RNA, 329 nt
Filed under: uncultured bacterium
Lineage: Bacteria
Description: bacterial SSU rRNA
Rfam family: Bacterial small subunit ribosomal RNA
Source: RNAcentral
ACACGUGGGCAACCUGCCUGUAAGUUGGGGAUAACUCCGGGAAACCGGGGCUAAUACCGAAUGAUAAGAUGUGGCGCAUGCCACGCCUUUGAAAGAUGGUUUCGGCUAUCGCUUACAGAUGGGCCCGCGGUGCAUUAGCUAGUUGGUAGGGUAAUGGCCUACCAAGGCAACGAUGCAUAGCCGACCUGAGAGGGUGAUUGGCCACACUGGGACUGAGACACGGCCCAGACUCCUACGGGAGGCAGCAGUAGGGAAUCUUCCGCAAUGGACGAAAGUCUGACGGAGCAACGCCGCGUGUAUGAAGAAGGUUUUCGGAUCGUAAAGUACUG